This 20-nucleotide microRNA is filed under the name Drosophila pseudoobscura pseudoobscura. RNAcentral's name for it is "mir-2537-RB". The record is from RNAcentral. Lineage: Eukaryota; Metazoa; Arthropoda; Insecta; Diptera; Drosophilidae.
AAAUAGUCGCUUGUCCUUUA